This is a long non-coding RNA of Anolis carolinensis (green anole), 9077 nucleotides long. RefSeq lists it as uncharacterized. NCBI's taxonomy places the organism in Eukaryota, Metazoa, Chordata, Lepidosauria, Squamata, Anolidae. The record is from RefSeq and is a predicted model, not a curated record. The transcript has 2 exons.
AACUUUAUAUCAUUUUUGUUUUUGUAAAGAUUUGUGUUUUUUGGGAAUAUGACAACAUAUAAAGGUGUGAAACAUUCUGUAUUACUUUUGUCAAGUGAGAGUUUUGAUAAAAUAUUUUGACAAAAUAAUCUUUGGAAGACAGCAUGAAAGAUGUAACUUUUUAAAAUUUGCUUAUUGAAAUGUGCAUGAAAGAUGCAACUUUUUAAAUUUUGCUUAUUGAAAUGUGCAUGCUUCACACACAGAGUACCAGCAUAAGCUCAGCUGUGCUAAAAUGAGUCUUGGAAACAGUAUCCAGAAGGCAGUUGCACUUGAUGAUAAAAGAUAUGUAUUUGCAUUUGCAUAGUGUUCUAGCACAUACAGAUAGUUGAGAUUUUUAAAUGAUGCAACGGGGAAGCUGGAAGGUUUCUCUAAGUUUUAUUAGUUCUAUUACAUCAGAAAUGGCAGUCAACCUUUCCUGGAAAACACUGGAUCCACUGUUAUGUUCUGCAAAAUAUUGUAUCCUAAGGCUCCCAGAAUCUCAGACCACUGACCAAAUAGAUGGAACUGCUGGGACUAGGAAAAAAAAGACAUUUGGAGGCUCAGGAUUUGUAUGCUUGCAGUUUUCAAGAGCUCUUGAAAGAUCUGGAAGAGACAACUGGCUUUAAAUUCAACUUAGUUGCCCAUUGGCCAACAAGUUGAUGUGGACAGGCUUCCUUGACAACAAGAUAUUUGAAGUGCACUAGGUAUAGACUGAAUUAAAUAGAUGAACUCAAUCUUCCCCACACCUGUAGUUUCUAUAGUUUUACUUCCUGUACUUUACCUACUUUCUCUGAAUGCAAGCAAAGCAUUUUUUUUCCUGUCCUUUCCAUUUUUACCAGCCCUUUCUCCUUCCUCAAAGGGACUUACAGGUUUAGGGUUCAUAGUUUAGCUUGCUCAUACUGCUUUUGGGGGCUGAAAACAUUAAUCACUAAAUUAGUCUCAACCUACUCUCCCUACCACAUUUUGGUGGAGCAGAAUAAAAUCCAUGUAGAAAUGACUAAGUCAAACUUAUUAUUCUUAUUACAGUGGAAAAUUCCAGUUACAGUAGAGUCUCACUUAUCCAAACUUCGCUUAUCCAACGUUCUGGAUUAUCCAACGCAUUUUUGUAGUCAAUGUUUUCAAUACAUCGUGAUAUUUUGGUGCUAAAUUCGUAAAUACAGUAAUUACUACAUAGCAUUACUGUGUAUUGAACUACUUUUUCUGUCAAAUCUGUUGUAUAACCUGAUGUUUUGGUGCUUAAUUUGUAAAAUCAUAACCUAAUUUGAUGUUUAAUAGGCUUUUCCUUAAUGCCUCCUUAUUAUCCAACAUAUUCACUUAUCCAACAUUCUGCUGGCCCGUUUAUGUUGGAUAAGUGAGACUCUACUGUAUUAAUUUAAUGAAUCAAAGGGCAGAUAUUUUACCUGAUUCGACAAAGGAUAGUAGAAUUAAUAUGAUAUCUGUUUAUUAAAGCCAACUAGAGCAUCAUAGAGCAAUUACAGUGCUAUUUCCUUUGAAGUUUUCCACAAAUGAACUAGGCUAGUGACCUGUAAUUGUUGUCUAAUAUAAAAGUAAUAAUAGAUAGGGUGGUGUGUAUGUGUGUUUUUUGUCUUUUCUCAUCUCUUUCCUGUGCUUAACUGUUAGGUGGCUUGGAAGUCCUUCUUUGCCUCUUUCUAUAAGUUAAUUAUUCUCACUAAUAUCUCACCUAGAAUGCAUUUUAAAAGAAUAAUAGAAUAGAUUAUGCAGCAUCCAUAUUGCAUUGAGCCCUAUAUGAGGCCAAUCAAAAGAUACAAAAUAUAAAACAGACUUCUUCAGGCAAAGAUAAAAUGCAUGUAGAGGAAAGAAGGUUAAAAUCAUGGAUUCUUCAUCUUGCUUUAAGGUGGUACAGAAUAAUCAGUGUAGAGCAGGCAUGGGCAAACUUGGGUCCUCCAGGCGUUUUGGACUCCAACUCCCACAAUUCCUAACAGCCUAUCAGCUGUUAGGAAUUGUGGGAGUUGGAGUCCAAAACACCAGGAAGACCCAAGUUUGCCCAUGCCUGUUGUAGAUCAACCCUGGGAAACUUGUCAAUAAUAAGGAACCAAAAUUAGAUAGGAUAAGGGACCACAAAAUAGGUUUGUAGCACCUUACUUUCCAAGUAAGGUACAAUUAAUGAUUAAUUUGGAUUGUUGCUGUUGUAUACCUUCAAGUCAUUUCAGACUUAGGAUGACCUUAAGACCACUCUAUCACAGAGUUUUCUUAUCAAGAUUUAUUAAAAGGUGAUUUUCCUUUGUCUUCCUCUGAGGCUAAGAGAGUGUGACUUGCCUAAAGUCACCCAGUGGGUUCAGAGUCAUAGUCUGAGCUUCAAACCACUUACACCAUGCUUUCUGAAUUCUGAAUUCCUUCCCUCUCUUUCCUACCUCUCUUCCUUCCUUUUCUCUCUCCCUCCUUCCUUCUCCCUUCCUUCCUUCCUUCCUUCCUUCCUUCCUUUCUUUCUUCUCCCCUAGGAUUCUAGAUGUCAGAUUUUAAUUUUUUUCAAAAAGAGAUUAUAACAAAAUACAUUAUUUCAAAAUAAAUAACAGCCUAGAUAAAAUCAUUUUAAGUAAUAGUUUUCAUUUGAGUAGACUGAAUUUACUUAGAUUUUGUCACUACAAAAUAUUCCAAUUUAAAUGGAUAUCUACAUAAACAUACAUUUCAGCUGUAAUCCUAAAUUGUGGGCAUGGAUGGCAGAGAGUUUCUGGGUAAUUUUGUCCUUGUCGGUUCUCCAGCAUCCAAAAGACACUUGGUGUGUGGUUAGACAAGCUGCUUUUAAAAUUUCUCCGGUUAAAUUUGAGGCAAUGAACCAUGUUUGUAUGUGGUGAACUUCUGUAGGGUUUUGCUUCAGCUAGUGGUGACCUGUGGGGUAUGUUUCUUUUACCCUUUUCCCCAUUGUGUAUGCCUUGUGUUUGCCUGGAUCCUUUCUUAUUCAGUGUGACUGCAAGGAAUGAAGUUGCAAAGUGAUGUUAUUUGCGAAAAUAAUUACCGUAUAUACUCAAUUAUAAGCCGACCCGAAUAUAAGCCGAGGCACCUAAUUUUACCACAAAAACUGGGAAAUCUUACUGACUCGAAUAUACGUGGGGGUGGGAAAUGUUAAAUUUCCCUGUUAAAGCUACUGUUAAAUUUCAAAAAUAAAAAUAGAUUCCAAUAAAAUUACAUUAAUUGAGGCAUCAGUGGGUUAAAUGUUUUUGAAUAUUUACAUAAAACUGUAAUUUAAGAUAAUAAUAAGACUUUAAUAAGAUAAGACUGUAUAAAUCCAAUUACUUAUUACUUAUAUACUUGAGUAUAAGCCAGCCGAAAUAUAAGCCAACCAAGACCCUCACUCGAGUAUAAGCCGAGGGCUGAAAAAUAGGGCGGAAAAAAUCGUCUUAUACUCGAGUAUAUAUGGUAUUCUUAUUCACUAUGUAUUGUAAUAACUGUGUUAAUUUGUCUGGAGGGUAUAUAAAUUGAUGUCAGUAAUGGAAACUGUCUUUGUUUGCCGUGGCAGUAGUGAUAAUGAAACCAAAUGUUUUAAAGUUCAAUAGUGAAAAUAAAAUUUAAAAAAAAAACAGGAAAUACCUGCUAAGAUGGUAGUGGAAUAUGUUAGGACUAAACUAACAUUGGGUUAGUAGAAAAUAUUGCAAAAAUAUUGCCUUGUUCUUUUAGAAAGCAAUUGGAAAUGUUUUUCCCAUUUCUGUUCCUAUGUUUGGGAGGAGAAUCACAAGGCUCAUUUUGCCUCAUUUUCCAGGUGGCUACAAGGAAACAAUAGGUAACAUGAUCUCUGCCUUUAAUUCCUCCCUCACUAUUUUUGGAGAAAAAACCUAACACUCUCCAAAUUCCUUCUUCCAGAAUGCGAAAGGGAAACUAUAUGUUAACUGCCCUGAGUCCCUCUGUGGAGAGAGGGCGGUCUAGAAAUAAAGUAUUAUUAUUAUUAUUAUUAUUAUUAUUAUUAUUAUUAUUAUUAUUAUUAAUAAUAAUAACAACAACAACAACUAUGAAAUGCAUUAAGGCAAAGUUUUUGUAAAGCUUUUCAACAAUAGCUUGAUCAACUUUUUUCACAAUUUAACUGAGUUCUAAAUUAUUGGUAUUUUAUAUGAUAGUUUAUUCCGUUGAAAGCAAUUCUUUACAUGUUUACUUUAUUUAUAUCACAUGAGAUUUCUAGUUGCAUUUUGGUAUAAGCCAGCCAUCUUUGGUCCCAUACCACAAAAAAUGUGGGAUAUAAAAUUAAUGGAUACAUAUAUGAAAUCUUAAUAAAUAAAAGCAGGAAGGGUUUUGUAGUAUAGUUUUAUUCUUAAUCAUGUCUGCACAGAAAUCUUAGUUGUUUGCAUACAUCCUUGAGCUUAUGGAGUUCAAGAAUUGCUGUAUAAAACCAAAAAUCCAGUAGUGGAAUUCCAGAGAUUUCUCAAUUGUACAAGUUUUGGAGAAUAUUAUUGCAGAGAUGAUUUACUUUAAUUUAUAUCAUGGGGUGUCUACAAUCCUGUAAGAUGAAUUAUCAGAUUUCAACAAGGUUAAAUUCCUAGCAAGCCCUAUUUUCUUCUGGCAUGACAGUACUGAUGCAAAGUGAGGUUGCCGUAACCAGAUUAGUUAACUUUGUUGUGAUCUGUUCCUGCAAUCAACAGAAGUGAUUUCAAGCAGAGAACACAUGGCCAUGUUACUGCCUUAUGAUUAUCUAUUUUUAAAAGGGGGUAACAAAAGGUAACACAGGAAAAUAACAUAAAUGAGGUUAGUGUAACUAUCACACUUUGUCAGAGAUGGCCCUUUUAUCAAAACAUGAACCAGGAAGACUCUUCCAGUUGACACUAUCUCUUUCUAUCACAAACAAGGACUGAACUCUGUGAACCAGCUGUGUAACAGGCUCCCUUGUGGUUAUCGACAUAGGAGUGACUUUUCUCCUCCACAAGCUUCUUUGAUGGCAGGUGCAUUUUGCCUUUCAAAGGAAACCAAAGAAUAACAAUAACUACUUGGUGUUGAACAAAUGCCUGGUAGUUUUCUUUUUGUUCCGUUUCUUUUACAUUACCUUGGUUCCUAGGUUUCUUUAUAAAUAAAUAAAGGCAGUGCUAAUAACAGUUCUUGUGCAUUUCAAAGGGGCAUUAUUCACCCCGGGAUAAAGUUACACUAUACAAAUUGUAGCUUGUGGAUCACUGUAUUUGGAGAGUUGUGGCAAAUUGGUUUACAAUGAAUGUUGGGUUUGAAAUGGAAGAUGGGAUGGGAUGGUGGACGAGGAAUAUGAACAAUUAUUUUAUAAUAUAAGAUUGACAGAAAUCCCUAAAUAUAAUUAAAACAACUAAAAUUCUUUAAAAAGAAUGCAGAAUCAGGAAUUCAAAUUCUAAUUUCCAGUACUAAGACCAUAGAACUAUCUAAACAUGGAUGAUAAUUUUAAAAUAUAGUCAAGGUUAAAAAUUUGUCAGAUUCUAUCUAUGUGUAUAAAGUUUGAACAGCAGACUUCUGCUAAAUGAGCUGGAGACUGCUAUGAACAAUAAAAAAGCAAAGUUAUUUGGAUGACACUUAAUUGUCCAGACUGAUAAACUCCAAAGCAACUGAACAAUCAUACUAUGCUUUUUUCCAAGGCGAAGUGCGUUAAAGCACUGAGCUGGAGACCGAAAGGUCCCAGGUUCAAACCUUGGGAGCGGCGUGAGCAGCCGCUGUUAGCUCCAGCUCCUGCCAACCUAGCAGUUCGAAAACAUGCCAGUGUGAGUAGAUCAAUAGGUACCGCUCUGGCGGGAAGGUAACAGCGCUCCAUGCAGUCAUGCCGGCCAUAUGACCUUGGAGGUGUCUACAGACAACGCCGGCUCUUUGGCUUUGAAAUGGAGAUGAGCACCAACCCCCAGAGUCAGACAUGACUGGACUUAACGUCAGGGGAAACCUUUACCUUUUACUGUGCAUUAUGCUAUACUGUAUAUAUUGUGUAUAAGUUGUCUUCAUGUAUAAGUUAGGGGCAGAUUUGGGGGUCAAAAUUAUGGAUUUCUCUAUUCUAAGUCUAGGAUAAAAAUUCACAUAAUGUAACAGAUCUCUCCUUUUAAAAAUAGAGAGAACAUCUAAGGAGAAGGUUUGUAUCUGUUUGAGGAGAUUCAAUAAAUGUAAGUGUGCAAAUUGUGGUGCUCAUCUUAAAAUGUCUUCAUCUACACAGAUAGGGAAAAGAAUAUAAAUGAGGAAAAAUAAUGAGAAGGUGUCCCAAAUGUAAAGGAUAGUGGUAGCAAGGAAACCAAUCUUCCUACAUUAGUGCAAAGGGAGUGGUGUAGCAAUAGAGCUCCCACCCCAUUACUCUUCUCUUGCACAAACUGGAGUAAGAAAGGUAGCCCUCUGUUCUUCCUUUUCAGCUCAUUUGGCAUCCAGUAACAAUGGGGAAAGACAGUUUCAACAUUUGAGGUGGAAUGUGGCACUGGUCAUUUUACUGUAUAACUCUCACAAGGCUUUGCAGUCUCUGCAGAGAAGUUUAUACAGUUAACCCCCAUUAAAAAUGGCCACUGUAGUCUCUCGAAGUUACUUGAUGCACACGCACACACACACGUGCCAGUUGACCUUCUCUACUGUGGAUCCUGCGUCCUGAAGCAGCCAGGAUAGAUGGCAGGCCCAUUUCCCUACCAUAAUGUUAAGGACAGCAUCAUGCUCUACAAGAUUUAAGAUAAAAUAAAUCAGUUUAAAAGAUGACAUAAAAGUAACAUUUAUAUUAAAAACUUUGGAUUUACAUAAUAAAACAUACAAUUAUAUCAGAAAUUAUCUCAAAGUACUAUAUAUACUAGCUUUUGUCAUCACAGUUUUUUCAGUAACUUCAGUAAAAUCAACUUACUUAGCUAAAUCAUUUUUGAUGUAUAAAAUUGUGAGAUGAUUAAGUCACUCUUAACUAGUUGUACUUUGCCAUGGCUGCUGAUCCUUCAGUUUAGAAAAAAAAUUUUGUUCGAUGGACAAAAUAAAAUCCAAUAUUUUAUGAAGUUGCCUUUGUCUUCUGUUCAUCUGGCUAAUUCACCACAACAGGCCCCCCUAAUUUUGGGCCCACAGAACUCUGUCUGCCCCCUCCUUCAGGGGCCAUGUUCUUCAAUAUCAUCACUUUAUAUGUCUGAGGUUAUGCAAGUGUGAAGGGGUUUGGUUUGGUUUUGCAAUUUAUAGAGAUAAGGCUUGCUAGUCAUAAUCCUGGCACAUAAUUCCUACUGAUAAGAGUAUGAGCUUAGAAUAUGCUUUCCUGAAUAUGCUUUUGCCAUCUUUGAAUGGGAGUCAUUUUACUUUGCUUUGCAUUUCUCAUUCACACACCUUCUACAAUAGUGGUUCUCAACCUGUGAGUCCCCAGGUGUUUCGGCCUACAACUCCCAGAAAUCCUAGCCAGUUUAUCAGCCGUUAGGAUUUCUGGGAGUUGAAGGCCAAAACAUCUGGGAACCUACUGGUUGAGAACCACUGUUCUAGAAGGAAAUGGCUUGUGCCUUUGCAAUAGAUAUUCCUUACUUUGGUCUUUUACUAAUCAAGCCUUCCACUUUUGGUUGAACCUCGGGCUGUGUCUUGGUGUGGGACCUAGUGGCUUUGAGGGCGCUGCUGUCAUAACAUGUGGGGUUUGGGUACAUCUGCACUCUAGAAGUAAUGCAGUUUGACUCCCCUUAAACUGUCAUGGCUCAAUACUGUGGGAUCCUGGGAGUUUUAUAAGUUUGUAAGAUCUUUAGCCUUUUCUGGCAAAGAGUGCUGUUGCAAACUAUAUAUUCCAGGAUUCCAUAGCAUUGAGUUACAGCAGUUAGUGGUGUUAAACUCUAUCAGUUAUACGGUGUAGAUGCAUACUUAGUUAUACUCAAAUUGGGGAGUGCUUUUCUCUGCAAUAAAACUACCUACAUCAAAUAAUUGUGGAUGAAAUCCAAUUUUACACAAGUACCUUGUAUCUUACUCUUUUAGAAAAGCCUGGAUUUGUUCAAAAGAUCUUCAUAAAGUAUAUGUUUUUUUAAAAAAUGAAGGUUGAAAAGAAUGAACCAGUAGAUUCCCAGUUUACUGUGCUAUAGUUCAUUUUUUCCAGCUUCUGUGGAGUAGAGUAGAAGAUGUAAAAUAUUUCACUUGUUUUUGAAGACUCGUUCCCCCCACUUGCACAUAAUUAACAAGUCAGCACAGCUGGUUUCCAUGAAUAUUGCUAUGACUGGACAGCAUGAGAUUUUAAGCUGACACUGUUAUUUUGAGAAAUAUCUUUUAAAUUGUAUAUUCCUUUUGAACUCAGGGUGUUCAGAAUAGAGCAGGAAAAGUCUGGAAAAAUCCUAGGAACGCAUUCUCCAUUUUCUUGUCCUGGGGGUAGGGCUAUGGAUUUUUAAAACACAAAUUAACUGUAAUUUUAGCAGAUUUAAAAUAACUGUUACUUUAGGCACAUCCCUCCACAGCUUGAAAAUAUUAAAAUAUAAUUCCAAAAAGCACAUCUUAAUUUUGCUAUUUUUAUAAUAUAUUGGGACUUUAGCAUCCAUGAAUUUUGGACAUGUACAAACACAGUGGAUACCAAAAUCCAAUGUGCAUUUUUCUUUCAUUCCCAGUUACAAGGUGUAGCCUAUUCACUUUUCCUCCCCUAUGAUAGUUACAAAUAAGAUAGUAUAAUUGUUUGCGCGCAAAAUACAUGUACAGUAUUUGUACAGAUUUGGGGGGAAAACAAAUGAUUGAUUGGAACAGAGAUGAAUCCUUGACCAAAAAAAAAAACGCACAGACAACUACUGCCAAAAGCAUUGACUCAGCUACUGGGCAUGGCAUACUCUCCAAUAACCACGUAUCAUCCAGAAUGGUUGCACAUACUCUUUCUGGGCUUUCAGUUUUGUGUUUUCCUUCCCCUCCUUCCAAACAACCCAGAGCUGCUAAUUACUUUUUACUCAGUUGAAAUUUGACAUGAAUUCUAGUAGGAGUAUGCCUCAAAAUGGCUAAUCUUCUGUUUCAGUAUUAAUGAUCCAGUUUCAUUGUCUACUCUCUGUUUUUAAUAUCAGGGCAAAUCAUAUUGAACUGUAGAAUUGUAAAUAAUCUGAUAGGACUGAUGAACUAAAAUAUAUACAUGUUUGCCGACUCAACUUCUGAGUUUAAGUUUUAAGAAUGUAAUUCUUAAAUAAAGAAUUUGUUGUUAUAAAUAAAUAAAGUUUGUUGUUGUAUUUUUUCAA